This 440-nucleotide ribosomal RNA is filed under the name uncultured bacterium. RNAcentral's name for it is "bacterial SSU rRNA". It matches the Rfam family "Bacterial small subunit ribosomal RNA", at positions 338 to 795 of the family's 1533-position model. The record is from RNAcentral.
CCUACGGGGGGCAGCAGUGGGGAAUAUUGCACAAUAGGCGAAAGCCUGAUGCAGCGACGCCGCGUGAGCGAAGAAGGCCUUCGGGUCGUAAAGCUCUUUUAUCCGGGACGAUAAUGACGGUACCGGAGGAAUAAGCCCCGGCUAACUUCGUGCCAGCAGCCGCGGUAAUACGAAGGGGGCUAGCGUUGCUCGGAAUCACUGGGCGUAAAGGGCGCGUAGGCGGCGUUUUAAGUCGGGGGUGAAAGCCUGUGGCUCAACCACAGAAUGGCCUUCGAUACUGGGACGCUUGAGUAUGGUAGAGGUUGGUGGAACUGCGAGUGUAGAGGUGAAAUUCGUAGAUAUUCGCAAGAACACCGGUGGCGAAGGCGGCCAACUGGACCAUUACUGACGCUGAGGUACGAAAGCGUGGGGAGCAAACAGGAUUAGAUACCCUGGUAGUC